AUGCUCUUGUUUAAGCUGGAUAUAGCCAAGGCUUUCGACUCGAUCUCGUGGGAAUACCUACUGGAGUUGCUACAGAAUCUAGGCUUCUCGCUCAGGUGGCGCAACUGGAUCUCCGCUAUAUUGGCCUCGUCGUCCUCUGUCGUCCUCCUCAAUGGAUCCCCAUGCCCAAUUAUACAACACUUCCGUGGCCUGCGGCAGGGGGACCCCCUGUCCCCGUUCUUGUUCAUCUUGGCGAUCGACACGCUCCACCGUGUUCUCGAGGCAGCACAAAACUCUGAUCUCCUUGCACCCCUUCCCGGUCGAGAUGCAAAACUGAGACUCAGUCUGUAUGCUGACGAUGCCAUUCUCUUCUCCAACCCCACACGCGAGGAUGUUGCUGGCCUUCUGGAUAUCAUGCACCACUUCGGACAGGCCACCGGGCUGCGAAUGAACCCUGAUAAGUCAACUGUUGCACCCAUCCAAUGCCAAGAAAUCGACCUGGACCAUAUCCUGGAGCCUUUCGCUGGAGCACGCGUUGCCUUCCCGAUCACUUACCUUGGUCUCCCAAUCACCUUAGGUAGGCUCAGAAAGGCGCACCUGCAAUUCGUAUACGAUAGAAUUAGGGCAAAGUUAGCUAGUUGGAAGGGUAGACUGAUGAACGUGGCCGGCAGGCGUGCGCUCGUGCGCUCUGUGCUCACAGCUAUGCCUAUUUUUGCACUCACCGCAAUACAAGUAAACGCCAGCUUCCUCAAGGACAUAGAUAAAAUCUGUAGAAAGUUCCUCUGGGUGCAAGAAGAAAACCUUACGGGUGGCAAGAGCAAGGUCAGUUGGCGCCAAGUGUGCUCUCCAGUAGAGCUGGGCGGCCUUGGGAUCCAUGAUCUUCAGAAGUUCGCCAGAGCGCUUCGUCUACGUUGGCUGUGGUUGUCUUGGGCAGAACCAAACAGGCCUUGGGUUGGCUCGGCCAUCCCAUGCGGUGAGCAGGACCGAGCCCUUUUUGCCGCUGCCACAACUGUCAGGAUUGGCGAUGGCAAAACUGCUCUUUUCUGGGAAUCAACAUGGAUGGGGCCGCUCCCUUUGCGUGAAAUAGCCCCGGCGUUGUACAAGCGAUCAAGAGCAAAGAAUCGAUCUGUCAGGGAGGCGCUGCACGGUCACAGAUGGAUCCAAGACAUAAGAAGACCACCAUUCACAAAUGCUUUCCUAGAGCAAUUCCGCUGCCUCUGGAGAUUAGUCCGGAAUACAGAGGCAAGCCUCAUCACCGGUGGUGUAGAUUUGAUCACCACAACUACAUCUGGAACCUACUCUGUUGCGGUAGCUUACAAGCUGCAGUUUGCUGGCAGGGUGGCCUCUCCUUUCAAAGACAUGUUCUGGCGGGCAUGGGCUCCCCCCCCCCCCCGCUGCAAGUUUUUCAUUUGGCUGCUCAUGUUGGAUAGGCUAUGGUGCGCUGAUCGUCUACAGCGUCGAGGCUGGCCAAACAAUUAUUUUUGCCCUCUAUGUCUGCGAAACUUGGAGACCUCGCUACACAUUCUAUGGGAAUGCCCGCAUGCAAGGAUGAUUUGGCAAAAGGCUGCGGACUGGUCUGGAUGCAGAUCACUCGAUCCCAUUGGCUGGCAAAACCCUGAAAGCUCAAAAGAGAUGUGGAUUGCUAUCGUCUCCAAGACGACGACUGAUCAAAUGAAGGGCAUCAAAUCGAUGAUGAUCCUGGUGUCGUGGAGGAUAUGGCUUGAGCGAAACAACAGAAUCUUCAGCAACAAAAUCUCAACGGUGGAAACCACAAUGAGGGAGAUCCGAGGAGACUUGGAAUUGUGGAGACUGGGGGGUGCAUCCUGCCUGCUGUCGCCUUUCGAGGACCCAGGCUGA
This 1836-nucleotide ribosomal RNA is filed under the name Triticum aestivum (bread wheat). Its description in RNAcentral is "partial small subunit ribosomal RNA". Lineage: Eukaryota; Viridiplantae; Streptophyta; Magnoliopsida; Poales; Poaceae. The record is from RNAcentral.